AGCAGCCGCGGUAAUUCCAGCUCCAAUAGCGUAUAUUAAAGUUGUUGCAGUUAAAAAGCUCGUAGUUGAACUUCGGGAUCAAUUAGUUGGUCAUGCCUUGGUAUGUACUGAUUUUAUUGGUUCUCACCUUCUAAAGAACUAUAAUGUCAUUUAUUUGAUGUUAUAGGGAAUUAGGACUGUUACCUUGAAAAAUUAGAGUGUUUAAAGCAGGCUCACGCUUGAAUACAUUAGCAUGGAAUAAUGAAAUAGGACAUCGCAUUCUAUUUUGUUGGUUUCUAGGAUCGAUGUAAUGAUUAAUAGGGAUAGUUGGGGGCAUUAGUAUUCAAUUGUCAGAGGUGAAAUUCUUGGAUUUAUUGAAGACUAACUACUGCGAAAGCAUUUGCCAAGGAUGUUUUCGUUAAUCAAGAACGAAAGUUAGGGGAUCGAAGACGAUCAGAUACCGUCGUAGUCUUAACCAUAAACUAUGCCGACUAGGGAUCGGAUGAUGUUGAUUUUUAAUGUACUCAUUC
Molecule: ribosomal RNA, 509 nt
Filed under: uncultured Glomus
Lineage: Eukaryota; Fungi; Glomeromycota; Glomeromycetes; Glomerales; Glomeraceae
Description: SSU rRNA
Rfam family: Eukaryotic small subunit ribosomal RNA
Source: RNAcentral